AUGAGUUGUUUCCACCUUGCAAAGAAGACGUGCCGGAAUUUAACCUCUAUCUCUUCAAAAUUCUGGUGGGGUGCAAAAAAUGGUGAGCGGAAGGUGCAUUGGAUCUCAUGGCAAAAAAUGUGUGCAGCUAAACGAGAAGGUGGAAUGGGCUUUCGAGGCCCAGAAGCUUUCAAUCAGGCACUUCUUGCUAAGCAGGCGUGGAGGAUCUUACAAUGCCCAUCAUCUUUGUGUGCAAGGGUACUCAAAGUGCGAUAUUUUAAGGACGAUUCAAUCAUGUCAGCCACAUGCCCGUCCUCGGCCUCGUUCACGUUCAGGAGUAUAUUGCAUGGGAGAGAU
This 336-nucleotide ribosomal RNA is filed under the name Triticum aestivum (bread wheat). RNAcentral describes it as "partial small subunit ribosomal RNA". The record is from RNAcentral. Lineage: Eukaryota; Viridiplantae; Streptophyta; Magnoliopsida; Poales; Poaceae.